This 232-nucleotide long non-coding RNA is filed under the name Volvox carteri. Its description in RNAcentral is "long non-coding RNA (VCAR_LNC001046)". Lineage: Eukaryota; Viridiplantae; Chlorophyta; Chlorophyceae; Chlamydomonadales; Volvocaceae. The record is from RNAcentral.
GCAGACGACCGCGAACGCAGUGCACUGUCCGCGCUCUCCCCUUCCCUUCCGAUUAUUCGUUUCUGAACUUAAUCAUUUUGCACUCCUCCAGUCGUGCUACACCAACGUACACGGGUCGCUGACCGCUGGCCGUGCUGCAUCUCAUGGCGGCAUCCCCGCGUGCGAAACUCCCAGGCGACGGGGAGCGCAAAAUCACGGAGAAUGGCUGACCUCCGGGACGGCUCCAAAUGCG